GACGAACGCUGGCGGCGUGCUUAACACAUGCAAGUCGAACGGAAAGGCCCUGCUUUUGUGGGGUGCUCGAGUGGCGAACGGGUGAGUAACACGUGAGUAACCUGCCCUUGACUUUGGGAUAACUUCAGGAAACUGGGGCUAAUACCGGAUAGGAGCUCCUGCUGCAUGGUGGGGGUUGGAAAGUUUCGGCGGUUGGGGAUGGACUCGCGGCUUAUCAGCUUGUUGGCGGGGUAGUGGCUUACCAAGGCUUUGACGGGUAGCCGGCCUGAGAGGGUGACCGGCCACAUUGGGACUGAGAUACGGCCCAGACUCCUACGGGAGGCAGCAGUGGGGAAUAUUGCACAAUGGGCGGAAGCCUGAUGCAGCAACGCCGCGUGCGGGAUGACGGCCUUCGGGUUGUAAACCGCUUUCGCCUGUGACGAAGCGUGAGUGACGGUAAUGGGUAAAGAAGCACCGGCUAACUACGUGCCAGCAGCCGCGGUGAUACGUAGGGUGCGAGCGUUGUCCGGAUUUAUUGGGCGUAAAGGGCUCGUAGGUGGUUGAUCGCGUCGGAAGUGUAAUCUUGGGGCUUAACCCUGAGCGUGCUUUCGAUACGGGUUGACUUGAGGAAGGUAGGGGAGAAUGGAAUUCCUGGUGGAGCGGUGGAAUGCGCAGAUAUCAGGAGGAACACCAGUGGCGAAGGCGGUUCUCUGGGCCUUUCUUGACGCUGAGGAGCGAAAGCGUGGGGAGCGAACAGGCUUAGAUACCCUGGUAGUCCACGCUGUAAACGGUGGGUACUAGGUGUGGGGUCCAUUCCACGGGUUCCGUGCCGUAGCUAACGCUUUAAGUACCCCGCCUGGGGAGUACGGCCGCAAGGCUAAAACUCAAAGGAAUUGACGGGGCCCCGCACAAGCGGCGGAGCAUGCGGAUUAAUUCGAUGCAACGCGUAGAACCUUACCUGGGUUUGACAUGGAUCGGGAGUGCUCAGAGAUGGGUGUGCCUCUUUUGGGGUCGGUUCACAGGUGGUGCAUGGCUGUCGUCAGCUCGUGUCGUGAGAUGUUGGGUUAAGUCCCGCAACGAGCGCAACCCUUGUUCACUGUUGCCAGCACGUUAUGGUGGGGACUCAGUGGAGACCGCCGGGGUCAACUCGGAGGAAGGUGGGGAUGACGUCAAAUCAUCAUGCCCCUUAUGUCCAGGGCUUCACACAUGCUACAAUGGUCGGUACAACGCGCAGCGACACUGUGAGGUGGAGCGAAUCGCUGAAAGCCGGCCUUAGUUCGGAUUGGGGUCUGCAACUCGACCCCAUGAAGUCGGAGUCGCUAGUAAUCGCAGAUCAGCAAUGCUGCGGUGAAUACGUUCCCGGGCCU
RNAcentral lists this ribosomal RNA (1346 nucleotides) under uncultured bacterium. Its description in RNAcentral is "bacterial SSU rRNA". It matches the Rfam family "Bacterial small subunit ribosomal RNA", at positions 28 to 1381 of the family's 1533-position model. The record is from RNAcentral.